RNAcentral lists this ribosomal RNA (1478 nucleotides) under metagenome. RNAcentral describes it as "bacterial SSU rRNA". It matches the Rfam family "Bacterial small subunit ribosomal RNA". The record is from RNAcentral.
AGAGUUUGAUCCUGGCUCAGGAUGAACGCUAGCGGCAGGCCUAAUACAUGCAAGUCGAACGGGGCAGUUCAGCAAUGGACUGUUCAGUGGCGCACGGGUGCGUAACGCGUAUGCAACCUACCUUAAACUGGGGGAUAGCCUUCCGAAAGGGAGAUUAAUACCGCAUAAGAUCAUUUGAUGGCAUCUGAAGAUGAUUAAAGAUUUAUUGGUUUAAGAUGGGCAUGCGUGCCAUUAGCUAGUUGGUAGUGUAACGGACUACCAAGGCGACGAUGGCUAGGGGUUCUGAGAGGAUGAUCCCCCACACUGGUACUGAGAUACGGACCAGACUCCUACGGGAGGCAGCAGUAGGGAAUAUUGGGCAAUGGACGGAAGUCCGACCCAGCCAUGCCGCGUGCAGGAAGAAGGCCUUCUGGGUUGUAAACUGCUUUUAUAUAGGAAGAAAACACCCAUGCGUGGGAACCUGACGGUACUAUAUGAAUAAGCACCGGCUAACUCCGUGCCAGCAGCCGCGGUAAUACGGAGGGUGCAAGCGUUGUCCGGAUUUAUUGGGUUUAAAGGGUGCGUAGGCGGCCCGUUAAGUCAGUGGUGAAAGCCUCCAGCUCAACUGGAGAACUGCCAUUGAUACUGACGGGCUUGAGUACAGACGAGGUUGGCGGAAUUGAUUGUGUAGCGGUGAAAUGCAUAGAUACAAUCAAGAACUCCGAUUGCGUAGGCAGCUAACUAGGCUGUAACUGACGCUGAGGCACGAAAGCGUGGGGAGCGAACAGGAUUAGAUACCCUGGUAGUCCACGCUGUAAACGAUGAUUACUCGAUGUCGGCGAUAAACUGUCGGCGUCUUAGCGAAAGCGUUAAGUAAUCCACCUGGGGAGUACGCCCGCAAGGGUGAAACUCAAAGGAAUUGACGGGGGCCCGCACAAGCGGUGGAGCAUGUGGUUUAAUUCGAUGAUACGCGAGGAACCUUACCUAGGCUAGAAUGCGCGUGACCGACUCAGAGAUGAGUCUUUCCUUCGGGACACAAAGCAAGGUGCUGCAUGGCCGUCGUCAGCUCGUGCCGUGAGGUGUUGGGUUAAGUCCCGCAACGAGCGCAACCCCUAUCUUUAGUUGCCAGCACAUAAUGGUGGGGACUCUAAAGAGACUGCCUGCGCAAGCAGUGAGGAAGGUGGGGAUGACGUCAGGUCAUCGUGGCCCUUACGCCUAGGGCUACACACGUGCUACAAUGGGCGGUACAAAGGGUUGCUACCUGGUGACAGGAUGCCAAUCUCAAAAAGCCGCUCUCAGUUCGGAUCGAAGUCUGCAACUCGACUUCGUGAAGCUGGAAUCGCUAGUAAUCGCGUAUCAGCAUGACGCGGUGAAUACGUUCCCGGGCCUUGUACACACCGCCCGUCAAGCCAUGGAAGUCAGGGAGACCUGAAGACGGUGCCCGUUAAAGGAGCCGUUUAGGGUAAAACUGGUAACUGGGGCUAAGUCGUAACAAGGUA